This 491-nucleotide ribosomal RNA is filed under the name uncultured bacterium. RNAcentral's name for it is "bacterial SSU rRNA". It matches the Rfam family "Bacterial small subunit ribosomal RNA", at positions 21 to 507 of the family's 1533-position model. The record is from RNAcentral.
GGCUCAGAUUGAACGCUGGCGGCAUGCCUUACACAUAGCAAGUCGAACGGCAGCACGGGGCAACCUGGUGGCGAGUGGCGAACGGGUGAGUAAUGCAUCGGAACGUGCCAUUGAGUGGGGGAUAACGUAGCGAAAGUUGCGCUAAUACCGCAUAUUCUGUGAGCAGGAAAGAGGGGGAUCGCAAGACCUCUUGCUUUAGGAGCGGCCGAUGUCGGAUUAGCUAGUUGGUGAGGUAAAGGCUCACCAAGGCGACGAUCCGUAGCGGGGUCUGAGAGGAUGAUCCGCCACACUGGGACUGAGACACGGCCCAGACUCCUACGGGAGGCAGCAGUGGGGAAUUUUGGACAAUGGGCGCAAGCCUGAUCCAGCCAUGCCGCGUGAGUGAAGAAGGCCUUCGGGUUGUAAAGCUCUUUCGGUGGGGAAGAAAUUGCACAGGAUAAUACCUUGUGUAGAUGACGGUACCCGCAUAAGAAGCACCGGCUAACUACGUG